GUAAAACACCAGUUCUUGUCUGACCCCCGAAGUUAAACAACUAUGAGCCUGGUUAGUACCUAGAUAGGUGACCGCUUGGAAAUACAAUGUUCUG
This is a non-coding RNA of Acanthosepion pharaonis, 94 nucleotides long. The record is from the annotation of a GenBank genome assembly. NCBI's taxonomy places the organism in Eukaryota, Metazoa, Mollusca, Cephalopoda, Sepiida, Sepiidae.